AUGUCGACAAGCUCGGUUAGGUCAUCGCUCGGCGGCCGUUCGGUGGUGGUGCCGCUCAUAAUAUGCCCUUUUUGCCCUGCUCGUGUUAAGUUCUAUGUGUCGAACAUGGAGAAGCACGAGGGCUGGGUCUUCUACAGGUGUCUUGUUAGUGACCAUUUCUGGCAUUGGGAGUUGGAGUACGUUGGCUACUUGCUGGAUAAUCACUUUCUCGUUGGCAAUGAAGCCGUAGAUGCAUUAGGAGCUGCAGAGGAUAAGAGGGAAGAGCUGAUGUGA
RNAcentral lists this ribosomal RNA (273 nucleotides) under Triticum aestivum (bread wheat). Its description in RNAcentral is "partial small subunit ribosomal RNA". The record is from RNAcentral. Lineage: Eukaryota; Viridiplantae; Streptophyta; Magnoliopsida; Poales; Poaceae.